Molecule: ribosomal RNA, 461 nt
Filed under: uncultured archaeon
Lineage: Archaea
Description: bacterial SSU rRNA
Rfam family: Archaeal small subunit ribosomal RNA
Source: RNAcentral
CUCAAAGUGCUUUGCUUAGGUAAGGCUUUUGCCAAGUCAAAACAGCUUGGCGAAUAAGUGGUGGGUAAGACGGGUGCCAGCCGCCGCGGUAACACCUGCGCCACAAGUGGCAACCAUGAUUAUUGGGCCUAAAGCGUCCGUAGCCGGUCUUAUAAGUCUUCUGUGAAAUUGUUAAGCUCAACUUAACAGCGUGCAGGAGAUACUGUAAAACUAGGAACUGGGGGGAGUCAGAAGAAUUUCUGGGGGAGCGGUAAAAUGUUAUAAUCCCAGAAAGACUACCAGUGGCGAAAGCGUCUGACUAAUACAGGUUCGACGGUGAGGGACGAAAGCCAGGGGAGCAAUCCGGAUUAGAUACCCGAGUAGUCCUGGCUGUAAACUCUGCGAGCUAGGUGUUGCAUAUUCUUCGUGAAUAUGCAGUGUCGAAGCGAAGGUGUUAAGCUCGCCGCCUGGGAAGUAUGGUC